Non-coding RNA from Tephrocybe rancida, 92 nucleotides. The record is from the annotation of a GenBank genome assembly. NCBI's taxonomy places the organism in Eukaryota, Fungi, Basidiomycota, Agaricomycetes, Agaricales, Lyophyllaceae.
GCAUUAAUGGGGUAGUGGUAACCUGGGUCGUUGCCAUAUGGUGUGAACAAUGAUCACUCGACCCGCCGGGGGUUCGAUUCCCUCUUAAUGCA